RNAcentral lists this microRNA precursor (89 nucleotides) under Canis lupus dingo (dingo). RNAcentral describes it as "mir-8799 microRNA precursor family". It matches the Rfam family "mir-8799 microRNA precursor family". Lineage: Eukaryota; Metazoa; Chordata; Mammalia; Carnivora; Canidae. The record is from Rfam by way of RNAcentral.
AGGGGGAGGCCAGAUUUUGGGCUGUGACCCGGUGCCCUGUGCUCCUGGUCUGUGCUGUUGGAUUCCCGCUCCCGGCCGCGCAGCUGCCU